This 243-nucleotide ribosomal RNA is filed under the name uncultured bacterium. RNAcentral's name for it is "partial 16S ribosomal RNA". It matches the Rfam family "Bacterial small subunit ribosomal RNA", at positions 534 to 776 of the family's 1533-position model. The record is from RNAcentral.
GCGAGCGUUAAUCGGAAUUACUGGGCGUAAAGCGCGAGUAGGCGGCUUUGCAAGUCGAGUGUGAAAUCCCCAGGCUUAACCUGGGAACUGCUCUCGAGACUGCAUAGCUAGAGUAUGGGAGAGGGAAGUGGAAUUUCAGGUGUAGCGGUGAAAUGCGUAGAUAUCUGAAGGAACAUCAGUGGCGAAAGCGACUUCCUGGACCAAUACUGACGCUCAUGUGCGAAAGCGUGGGGAGCAAACAGG